RNAcentral lists this non-coding RNA (82 nucleotides) under Desulfotomaculum sp. RNAcentral's name for it is "c-di-GMP sequence". It matches the Rfam family "c-di-GMP-I riboswitch aptamer". Rfam says of the family: GEMM was predicted in a large-scale screen for bacterial structured RNA regulatory elements. The record is from RNAcentral. Lineage: Bacteria; Bacillati; Bacillota; Clostridia; Eubacteriales; Desulfotomaculaceae.
GUUAAAUAAGGGCAAACCUGCCGAAAGGCAGGGACGCAAAGCCUCAGGCCUAAGGCAAAGCUAAGGUGGCUGGGUUGCCAAG